UCCCUAGUAGCUCAGACGGUAAAGCGUCUGUCUACAAUGCAGGAGACCCAGGUUCGAUCCCUGGGUCGGGAA
RNAcentral lists this transfer RNA (72 nucleotides) under Bos taurus (domestic cattle). It matches the Rfam family "tRNA". From Rfam's summary of the family: Transfer RNA (tRNA) molecules are approximately 80 nucleotides in length. Lineage: Eukaryota; Metazoa; Chordata; Mammalia; Artiodactyla; Bovidae. The record is from Rfam by way of RNAcentral. RNAcentral also lists the same sequence under 1 other name.